RNAcentral lists this ribosomal RNA (854 nucleotides) under uncultured Basidiomycota. RNAcentral describes it as "LSU rRNA". It matches the Rfam family "Eukaryotic large subunit ribosomal RNA", at positions 399 to 1236 of the family's 3401-position model. Lineage: Eukaryota; Fungi; Basidiomycota. The record is from RNAcentral.
GUGAAAUUGUUGAAAGGGAAACGCUUCAAGUCAGUUGUCUCCUUUGGAAAUCAACCUGACCUUGGUUGGGUGCACUUUCCACUGGAAAGGGUCAGCAUCAAUUUUGACCGUUGGAUAAAGUCCUUGGGAAUGUGGCAUCUUCGGAUGUGUUAUAGACCAGGGUUCACAUGCAAUGGUUGAGAUUGUGGAACUCAGUGUGACAUUUUAUGUUUGGAGUCUUUUGGCUCACAAUCACGCACUUAGGAUGCUGGCAUAAUGGCUUCAAUCGACCCGUCUUGAAACACGGACCAAGGAGUCUAACAUGCAUGCGAGUGUUUGGGUGAAAACUCAAGCGCGAAAUGAAAGUGAAAGUUGAGAACCCUGUCAUGGGGUGCAUUGACGCCCGGACCUGACCUUUUGUGAUGGAUCUGCGGUAGAGCAUGUUUGUUGGGACCCGAAAGAUGGUGAACUAUGCCUGAAUAGGGUGAAGCCAGAGGAAACUCUGGUGGAAGCUCGUAGCGAUUCUGACGUGCAAAUCGAUCGUUGAAUUUGGGUAUAGGGGCGAAAGACUAAUCGAACCAUCUAGUAGCUGGUUCCCGCCGAAGUUUCCCUCAGGAUAGCAGACACUCAUUGAAUCAGAUUUAUGUGGUAAAGCGAAUGAUUAGAGGCCUUGGGGUUGAAACAACCUUAACCUAUUCUCAAACUUUAAAUAUGUAAGAUGAAACUGUUUCUUAAUUGAACUGUUUCGCGAUUGAAGAGUGUCUAGUGGGCCAUUUUUGGUAAGCAGAACUGGCGAUGCGGGAUGAACCGAACGUGAGGUUAAGGUGCCGGAAUCUACGCUCAUCAGACACCACAAAAGGUGUUAGUUCAUCUAG